RNAcentral lists this ribosomal RNA (2907 nucleotides) under Klebsiella oxytoca. RNAcentral describes it as "23S ribosomal RNA". It matches the Rfam family "Bacterial large subunit ribosomal RNA". The record is from RNAcentral. Lineage: Bacteria; Pseudomonadati; Pseudomonadota; Gammaproteobacteria; Enterobacterales; Enterobacteriaceae.
GGUUAAGCGACUAAGCGUACACGGUGGAUGCCCUGGCAGUCAGAGGCGAUGAAGGACGUGCUAAUCUGCGAAAAGCGUCGGUAAGGUGAUAUGAACCGUUAUAACCGGCGAUGUCCGAAUGGGGAAACCCAGUGCAAUUCGUUGCACUAUCGUUAACUGAAUACAUAGGUUAACGAGGCGAACCGGGGGAACUGAAACAUCUAAGUACCCCGAGGAAAAGAAAUCAACCGAGAUUCCCCCAGUAGCGGCGAGCGAACGGGGAGCAGCCCGGAGUCUGAAUCAGCUUGUGUGUUAGUGGAAGCGUCUGGAAAGUCGCAGGGUACAGGGUGAUACUCCCGUACACUAAAACGCACAGGCUGUGAACUCGAAGAGUAGGGCGGGACACGUGGUAUCCUGUCUGAAUAUGGGGGGACCAUCCUCCAAGGCUAAAUACUCCUGACUGACCGAUAGUGAACCAGUACCGUGAGGGAAAGGCGAAAAGAACCCCGGCGAGGGGAGUGAAAAAGAACCUGAAACCGUGUACGUACAAGCAGUAGGAGCCCACUAGUUGGGUGACUGCGUACCUUUUGUAUAAUGGGUCAGCGACUUAUAUUCUGUAGCAAGGUUAACCGUAUAGGGGAGCCGCAGGGAAACCGAGUCUUAACUGGGCGUUAAGUUGCAGGGUAUAGACCCGAAACCCGGUGAUCUAGCCAUGGGCAGGUUGAAGGUUGGGUAACACUAACUGGAGGACCGAACCGACUAAUGUUGAAAAAUUAGCGGAUGACUUGUGGCUGGGGGUGAAAGGCCAAUCAAACCGGGAGAUAGCUGGUUCUCCCCGAAAGCUAUUUAGGUAGCGCCUCGUGAACUCAUCUUCGGGGGUAGAGCACUGUUUCGGCUAGGGGGUCAUCCCGACUUACCAACCCGAUGCAAACUACGAAUACCGAAGAAUGUUAUCACGGGAGACACACGGCGGGUGCUAACGUCCGUCGUGAAGAGGGAAACAACCCAGACCGCCAGCUAAGGUCCCAAAGUCAUGGUUAAGUGGGAAACGAUGUGGGAAGGCCCAGACAGCCAGGAUGUUGGCUUAGAAGCAGCCAUCAUUUAAAGAAAGCGUAAUAGCUCACUGGUCGAGUCGGCCUGCGCGGAAGAUGUAACGGGGCUAAACCAUGCACCGAAGCUGCGGCAGCGACGCUUAUGCGUUGUUGGGUAGGGGAGCGUUCUGUAAGCCGUUGAAGGUGGCCUGUGAGGGUUGCUGGAGGUAUCAGAAGUGCGAAUGCUGACAUAAGUAACGAUAAUGCGGGUGAAAAACCCGCACGCCGGAAGACCAAGGGUUCCUGUCCAACGUUAAUCGGGGCAGGGUGAGUCGACCCCUAAGGCGAGGCCGAAAGGCGUAGUCGAUGGGAAACAGGUUAAUAUUCCUGUACUUGGUGUUACUGCGAAGGGGGGACGGAGAAGGCUAUGUUGGCCGGGCGACGGUUGUCCCGGUUUAAGCAUGUAGGCGGAUGUUCCAGGUAAAUCCGGAACGUCACUAACGCUGAGGUGUGAUGACGAGGCACUACGGUGCUGAAGUGACAAAUGCCCUGCUUCCAGGAAAAGCCUCUAAGCAUCAGGUAACAUCAAAUCGUACCCCAAACCGACACAGGUGGUCAGGUAGAGAAUACCAAGGCGCUUGAGAGAACUCGGGUGAAGGAACUAGGCAAAAUGGUGCCGUAACUUCGGGAGAAGGCACGCUGAUGGUAAGUGAAGUGACUUGCUCAUGGAGCUGAAAUCAGUCGAAGAUACCAGCUGGCUGCAACUGUUUAUUAAAAACACAGCACUGUGCAAACACGAAAGUGGACGUAUACGGUGUGACGCCUGCCCGGUGCCGGAAGGUUAAUUGAUGGGGUUAUCCUCGCGGAGAAGCUCUUGAUCGAAGCCCCGGUAAACGGCGGCCGUAACUAUAACGGUCCUAAGGUAGCGAAAUUCCUUGUCGGGUAAGUUCCGACCUGCACGAAUGGCGUAAUGAUGGCCAGGCUGUCUCCACCCGAGACUCAGUGAAAUUGAACUCGCUGUGAAGAUGCAGUGUACCCGCGGCAAGACGGAAAGACCCCGUGAACCUUUACUAUAGCUUGACACUGAACACUGGUCCUUGAUGUGUAGGAUAGGUGGGAGGCUUUGAAGUGUGGACGCCAGUCUGCAUGGAGCCAUCCUUGAAAUACCACCCUUUAAUGGCUGGUGUUCUAACGUGGGCCCGUGAUCCGGGUUGCGGACAGUGUCUGGUGGGUAGUUUGACUGGGGCGGUCUCCUCCUAAAGAGUAACGGAGGAGCACGAAGGUCAGCUAAUCCUGGUCGGACAUCAGGAGGUUAGUGCAAUGGCAUAAGCUGGCUUGACUGCGAGCGUGACGGCGCGAGCAGGUGCGAAAGCAGGUCAUAGUGAUCCGGUGGUUCUGAAUGGAAGGGCCAUCGCUCAACGGAUAAAAGGUACUCCGGGGAUAACAGGCUGAUACCGCCCAAGAGUUCAUAUCGACGGCGGUGUUUGGCACCUCGAUGUCGGCUCAUCACAUCCUGGGGCUGAAGUAGGUCCCAAGGGUAUGGCUGUUCGCCAUUUAAAGUGGUACGCGAGCUGGGUUUAGAACGUCGUGAGACAGUUCGGUCCCUAUCUGCCGUGGGCGCUGGAGAAUUGAGGGGGGCUGCUCCUAGUACGAGAGGACCGGAGUGGACGCAUCACUGGUGUUCGGGUUGUCAUGCCAAUGGCAUUGCCCGGUAGCUAAAUGCGGAAGAGAUAAGUGCUGAAAGCAUCUAAGCACGAAACUUGCCCCGAGAUGAGUUCUCCCUGACUCCUUGAGAGUCCUGAAGGAACGUUGAAGACGACGACGUUGAUAGGCCGGGUGUGUAAGCGCAGCGAUGCGUUGAGCUAACCGGUACUAAUGAACCGUGAGGCUUAACCUU